Telopea speciosissima is the source of this 103-nucleotide long non-coding RNA. RefSeq lists it as uncharacterized. The transcript is spliced from 3 exons. The record is from RefSeq and is a predicted model, not a curated record. Lineage: Eukaryota; Viridiplantae; Streptophyta; Magnoliopsida; Proteales; Proteaceae.
GGUAUUUUGGGCCUUUAGCAGUUACCAAAGUUCCCAACGAGGAUAAGCCAGAACCCGAGAUUGAUCUAACAUGGGGUUUAAACUCAAAGUCGUUAGAAGUUCU